CAAACGAGAGACACUUCCUCCUUUUAUAUAACUCUUGAAUUGCUAAACUAUAAUUGCUACUUGUUAAAUAUUGAAUGGAAGAGAGCAAAAUUGCUAGAAGAGAGAAUAAAUAGGAGUAAAAAGAUUAGAGAGGGAGAGGAUUGAUUUGAUGAAUUAGUGUGGUAAGAAUGAAAGAGGAUGAUCCUAUUUAUAGAAACACC
RNAcentral lists this long non-coding RNA (200 nucleotides) under Elaeis guineensis (African oil palm). Its description in RNAcentral is "long non-coding RNA (EGUI_LNC040754)". The record is from RNAcentral. Lineage: Eukaryota; Viridiplantae; Streptophyta; Magnoliopsida; Arecales; Arecaceae.